CGAAAGCGUGGGUAGCAAACAGGAUUAGAUACCCUGGUAGUCCACGCCGUAAACGAUGGGUACUAGAUGUUGUGGGAAUUGACCCCUACAGUGUCGACGCUAACGCAUUAAGUACCCCGCCUGGGAAGUACGGCCGCAAGGUUAAAACUCAAAGGAAUUGACGGGGGCCCGCACAAGCGGUGGAGCAUGUGGUUUAAUUCGAUGCAACGCGAAAAACCUUACCUGGGUUAGACAAUAGGAGACAGGAGUAGAGAUAUUCCCUUGUAGCAAUACACUCCUAGUUUAGGUGCUGCAUGGCUGUCGUCAGCUCGUAUCGUGAGAUGUCGGGUUAAGUCCCUUAACGAGCGCAACCCUUAUCCUUAGUUGCCAUCAUUCAGUUGGGCACUCUAUGGAGACCGCCGGUGUUAAACCGGAGGAAGGCGGGGAUGACGUCAAGUCCUCAUGGCCCUUAUGUCCAGGGCAACACACGUGCUACAAUGGCCGGUACAGAGGGUUGCCAACCCGCAAAGGGGAGCUAAUCUCAGAAAGCCGGUCUCAGUUCGGAUUGAAGUCUGCAACUCGACUUCAUGAAGCUGGAAUCGCAAGUAAUCGCAGAUCAGCACGCUGCGGUGAAUACGUUCCCGGGCCUUGUACACACCGCCCGUCACACCACGAAAGUUGAUUGCACCAGAAGUCGCCGUACUAACCGUAAGGAGGUAGGCGCCCAAGGUUCGGUCGAUGAUUGGGGUGAAGUCGUAACAAGGUAGCCGUA
This 751-nucleotide ribosomal RNA is filed under the name uncultured bacterium. Its description in RNAcentral is "bacterial SSU rRNA". It matches the Rfam family "Bacterial small subunit ribosomal RNA", at positions 754 to 1504 of the family's 1533-position model. The record is from RNAcentral.